Molecule: non-coding RNA, 84 nt
Organism: Xyrichtys novacula (pearly razorfish)
Lineage: Eukaryota; Metazoa; Chordata; Actinopteri; Labriformes; Labridae
Source: the annotation of a GenBank genome assembly
GGCAUGGAGUCUGCCGGCAUCCAUGAGACAACCUACAACAGCAUCAUGAAGUGCGACGUGGACAUCCGUAAAGAUCUGUACGCC